RNAcentral lists this ribosomal RNA (90 nucleotides) under Aspergillus fumigatus. RNAcentral describes it as "partial 28S ribosomal RNA". The record is from RNAcentral. Lineage: Eukaryota; Fungi; Ascomycota; Eurotiomycetes; Eurotiales; Aspergillaceae.
AGGUUGACCUCGGAUCAGGUAGGGAUACCCGCUGAACUUAAGCAUAUCAAUAAGCGGAGGAAUANUUGCAUUAUAUNAAAUCAUUGCAUC